RNAcentral lists this ribosomal RNA (620 nucleotides) under bacterium. Its description in RNAcentral is "bacterial SSU rRNA". It matches the Rfam family "Bacterial small subunit ribosomal RNA", at positions 75 to 692 of the family's 1533-position model. The record is from RNAcentral.
UUUGUUCUUUGGGUGGCGAGUGGCGGACGGGUGAGGAAUACAUCGGAAUCUACUCUGUCGUGGGGGAUAACGUAGGGAAACUUACGCUAAUACCGCAUACGACCUACGGGUGAAAGCAGGGGACCUUCGGGCCUUGCGCGAUUGAAUGAGCCGAUGUCGGAUUAGCUAGUUGGGGGGGUAAAGGCCCACCAAGGCGACGAUCCGUAGCUGGUCUGAGAGGAUGAUCAGCCACACUGGAACUGAGACACGGUCCAGACUCCUACGGGAGGCAGCAGUGGGGAAUAUUGGACAAUGGGCGCAAGCCUGAUCCAGCCAUACCGCGUGGGUGAAGAAGGCCUUCGGGUUGUAAAGCCCUUUUGUUGGGAAAGAAAUCCAGCUGGCUAAUACCCGGUUGGGAUGACGGUACCCAAAGAAUAAGCACCGGCUAACUUCGUGCCAGCAGCCGCGGUAAUACGAAGGGUGCAAGCGUUACUCGGAAUUACUGGGCGUAAAGCGUGCGUAGGUGGUCGUUUAAGUCCGUUGUGAAAGCCCUGGGCUCAACCUGGGAACUGCAGUGGAUACUGGACGACUAGAGUGUGGUAGAGGCUAGCGAAAUUCCUGAUGUAGCAGUGAAAUGCGUA